This is a non-coding RNA of Xyrichtys novacula (pearly razorfish), 466 nucleotides long. The record is from the annotation of a GenBank genome assembly. NCBI's taxonomy places the organism in Eukaryota, Metazoa, Chordata, Actinopteri, Labriformes, Labridae.
AUCGGAGGAGCCUGGAGGUGUCCGCGGGGAUGCGACUGCUGUUUCGGUAUGCGCCUCGACAGCGAGGUGUCCGCGGGGAUGCGACUGCUGUUUCGGUAUGCGCCUCGACAGCGAUGCAGAGGUUCAUAUGGGAUGGAAGAUGUGGAAACAGCGUGAACAGAAGGCCGGGUCAAGUGUGAGUGUUCGCCGCUGGGUUUUGCUCCUCUCAUGGGGGUAAUGGUUUCAACUGCGGCUGUGAAUAAUGCAGUCCGGUCGGUUCCCUUGUUCUGCCAGAGGUCCGUCCACGGGGCGAACCUUGAGAUAGGGUCGGCAGGUAUUUACAUUCAAAGCGCCGCCUGCUUUCUGUGCGUGAGCAGACGUGCUGCGAGAGGAUAAGAAUGACAAAGACACGGGGAGUGGAAACGUCCCUGUGGUCUCCAAAGUGUUGAUAUCCUCCGACUGUGGCGUUUUAUCUUAUGUGUAACCA